UCUGCUUAGAAAGGAGCAAAGAGCUGGUUGCUCCGUCCCGUCCUGCUUCUGCUACUGGUUUUGGAAAAGCUUAGUACAGAAAAAAGAAGCUAGAGGAAGCUAAAGACAAGCCACACAAGAAGCCAAUGACUUCUGUCUUGCAGAAACUCAGGAAGAAGGAUGGGUGUGUGUGUACUUCCUGACCCUCUGAAGAUACCCAGCCUCCUGUGCCUAACCCCAGCUGGAAGGCCUUAGGACUUCUCAGCAGAAGCUCCACCCUCCUGGAAGAAGACCCACAAUGCCACCUACCUUGGAGGGCCACUGCAUUCUGGGUGACAAGGAACUUCAACUCCAUACUGGCCAAUGGGAAGAGCAGCUCCAUGAUCGAGCAGGCCAUGGCUGGGUAUUGCCCCUCCAUCUUCCAGAAGUAGCACAUCAGGUGUCUUGGGAUACAUACCUGGGAAUACAGUCCUGUGAAAACAAGGCUCUCCACACCAGCUGAGACCGAGGACCAAACAGCUAAACGCCAGACGGCCCAAGAAACCCCAAAUAAAAGCCUAUAUGACUA
This is a long non-coding RNA of Podarcis muralis (Common wall lizard), 547 nucleotides long. RefSeq lists it as uncharacterized. Lineage: Eukaryota; Metazoa; Chordata; Lepidosauria; Squamata; Lacertidae. The record is from RefSeq and is a predicted model, not a curated record.